GUGCAAGCCGCCGCGGUAAGACGAACCGUGCGAACGUUGUUCGGAAUCACUGGGCUUAAAGGGCGCGUAGGCGGCCGGGUUGGUCGUGGGUGAAAUCCCCCAGCUUAACUGGGGAAUUGCCUACGAUACUGCCUGGCUCGAGGGAGGAAGGGGCGGCCGGAACUGUCGGUGGAGCGGUGAAAUGCGUUGAGAUCGACAGGAACGCCGGUGGCGAAAGCGGGCCGCUGGCCCUCUUCUGACGCUGAGGCGCGAAAGCCAGGGGAGCGAACGGGAUUAGAUACCCUCGUAGUCC
Molecule: ribosomal RNA, 292 nt
Filed under: uncultured bacterium
Lineage: Bacteria
Description: partial 16S ribosomal RNA
Rfam family: Bacterial small subunit ribosomal RNA
Source: RNAcentral